GGCGAAAUGCUCACCACACCAAAGUAUAAGUCUUUAAAUGAACUUAAAACAAUCAUGGAACGGAUUUCCACAUUAAUAAAUGUUUUUCUAUUAGCAGUAAGUCAAUUGAUUUAAGUUGGAAUCAACUGCAAAAGUUGGAUGAAUUGAUGAUGAACCAACUAAGUUGGUCCAGCUCAAGUACCUUAAGCUGGACCAACAAAAUUGCGUAAUGCUAAUCACGUGGGAAUCCUUUCCAUGAUUUUAUUACGUUCAUUCAAAUUGUUAUUUAUUGAGUGUGUAAGAAAAAGCAGGUUUACUGAAACCACAGAAACUCAGAUGAGUCACUGGAGUAACAAGCUGUGUGAAGCUAACCUACUGGGUGAUGGGUUUUCUUCAACAAACUGAACAAACUUCAUUUCUUCAUUUCUUUCGUCUUCAUUUCCUCAUUCAGUAUAAAAAAAAUAUAGGAGUGUGGUAAUAUGCAGAAGUUUGCAUUAUUACCCUGUUAGAUGAGUGUUCAUAAUUAGUCAUCACAGAUAAAUCACUUGACAGUCUGCAUCUAUUUAAAACUUUGGACGGUAAGAAAGGUGUCGGGUUAUGAAAUAAAUACAAUAGCUUAUUGUCACGAUAACUAUUUAAAUAAAACGUAUCUGUAUGAAGUUUUAGACUGAUUGAUAAAGAGCAUUUGUCGUGCAGUGAUCAGUCACUCUGAUAGAAAAUUGCCUGGCAUCUUUACACUGUCGUCUAAAAUUUGUAUUAAGGGUAAUCUGUAAAAGUGUCAACACAGUGGAAUGUUUCUGCCUGCCACGUGCCCUGUUCAUGACACGGGUGUUUUCUUCUUCUAAAUAUUGUUAAAAUCAUCAAAAGGAUGACUGUGUAUUUGGCUUUCUAUUUAUAAUAUUGUAAGGUGUUUAUCUUGAAUUAAAGUGCCUCCAGAUGACUGUUGUUGGUGUUUGACCAUAUUUAAAACUCAUCUGAUUGUAAUACAGGGAAAUGUUGGUUUUUACAAAUAAUAACUGCGCGUGUUGUUUUUGCUCAUUUGCAUCUUUUAUUCAUUCAGCUUUCUUGACAUAUUGCAUGCAGCCGCUCUGCAGUGACGCUUUUUGGCCACAAUUACUUUUUCCUAAUGUUUAAAGCAGUGAAGUCAAACAUUUGGAGUUGUACACGAUUGUCAUCAGAUUGUGUGGUGAAAUUUUCUAAACUAAAAAUAUUUUGAAGUAGGGCUUCAUGAUGUGGGAAGACAGAAAUCAAAAACACUUUUGCCUUUUCUCUGCCAUCAUUUCCCCUAAAAAGCUAAAUAAAGCAAACAGAUUUCUGUGGCUUAACAAAAGUUUUUGCUUUUUCUUUUUAGUGUGUAACUGUGGACAGACUUCAUUGAGCUCUUUAAACACACUUUCAUGCUUACAACAUUGCAGGAAUCAUACACUGAUUUCACUAAAGCAUUUGUAUUUUAGUUGUUUGGCAUCUUCUCACGAGACACUCAGUUUCCCUCUUGGGUCCACCUGAUGCAUCUAAAACCAUCCUCGCAGUCACAUUUCAUAUCAGACGUACUGGUGUAGUUCUGAACCACUUUAAAAUGAAACUCUGAGAAAGAGUGAAAUAGAGAUUAUUAUAAAGAGUACUCUAGAACAUAGAAAAGCAUUUCCUUUGUGACACUUUCAUGUCAGCUUGAUGGCAUUGCAUUUUUUAGAGAGCAUAAAGAUUUCCAGGAAUAUUUUCAAACCUGUUCAUAUUAGACAAGUUUUGCAUAUUCAUGGCAACUUGAGAGGAACCUGUUCUCAGAAUGAUCUGAUAAUAACGGGAGCCAGAGCUAAGAUUACAUAUCCUGUCAGCUAUUUUUUUUCUUUUGUUUUUUAAUGGCUGCGGUAAAGUUGUUUGCUUUGACACUGGUCAUUUUGCCCACUGUUGGUUUGAGCUUAUCUGACAUGAGAAUUCAAAGUGUUCUUCUCGGUACUUACUGGUUGGGGUUGGGUCUGGCAUCUUCUCACAAGACAAGCAGUUCUUUUUGUCAUGGGCCCACCUGAUGCAUCUAAAACCAUCCUCGCAGUCACAUUUAAUAUCAGACGUACUGGUGCAGUUCUGAACCACUUUAAGAUGCAACUCUGAGAAAGAGUGAAAUAGAGAUUAUUAUAUGGAGUAGUCAUCACAGUACAUGUGGAGUUACUAUUAAUGGUUUAUCAGCUUUUUAUAGAAACCCAGAGAUCACGGGUAUAUCAAAAUCCUGAUGAAAUCAUUAAAGGUGGAAAUGAAAACUUUCUUUACUAGGGUUGCAGUCUCCAAAGCAGAGAUGGCAUUCAUCUUCAUAGUUCAAGUCAGUUGUGUAACUUCCAGCAGGACAGUGUUCACAUGUUGUACAAUCACUCUGAUACAUACCUGUG
Long non-coding RNA from Astatotilapia calliptera (eastern happy), 2357 nucleotides. Lineage: Eukaryota; Metazoa; Chordata; Actinopteri; Cichliformes; Cichlidae. The record is from Ensembl.